Molecule: long non-coding RNA, 251 nt
Filed under: Gouania willdenowi (blunt-snouted clingfish)
Lineage: Eukaryota; Metazoa; Chordata; Actinopteri; Blenniiformes; Gobiesocidae
Description: lncRNA (ENSGWIG00000018522.1)
Source: RNAcentral
GCUGCAUUUACAUUUCUGGUAAAGAAUACUUGUGGAAUAGGGAAGAGACUGUCUGUUGGAUUGGGUUGAAUAUUUAUGGUCGUGGAAGUUUUUGAUAAGAAGCGUCCAAAGUUCAUAAAGGAGGAGCCUAUAAGGAGUCUUUAACAGCGUGGGAAAACACAGGAUUGGAAAGGGACUCAAAGCAGCCAGAGGAUAUUUUUCACACAUUGUUUCAAAGCUGUUUGCACCAAAUGAGGAAAUUGGCCCUGAAC